RNA transcript from Tripterygium wilfordii, 3069 nucleotides. RefSeq lists it as uncharacterized. The record is from RefSeq and is a predicted model, not a curated record. Lineage: Eukaryota; Viridiplantae; Streptophyta; Magnoliopsida; Celastrales; Celastraceae. The transcript has 4 exons.
UUAAGAAAGGAUCAAAGAACGUUGAAACUGAAAAAGGGUAUGCAUUCACGUGAAGUUUGAAACAACUGCCUCUCGAUCGUCGCCGAGGGAGAGAGUUCCCUGUUCUGAUGAUUUGAUCCGUGGACCCAAAAAUGGCAUCACUGGCCACCCAUUUUUCAGCCUCUCUUCUCCUCCUCCCGGUGGGGUUGCGCCGCCUCCUCUACUCCUACUCCCUCUACCUCAAGAGCCCUUCCCUCUUCCACUCCAAGCUUUACUACUUCUCCCAACCCAGAUACACCAAUCUUGACCUCUAUACUCUCCUUCUCUCCCUCCCCAUUGCUACCUUCUCUCUCCUCUUCCUCUUCCUCACCCUCUCUCCUUCCCUUUCCUUCCCCUCCUACAGAUUCUCCUUCCUCUUCCAAUCCCAGACAAUUUUCCUCUUCUGGGUUUUGAUUCUCCUCUUCUUAGCCCGCGAGAGUGUCGACUCAUUUUUCAUUCCCGAGAGUUUCGUCUUCCUUCUCGCGGGAAUCACCUUCUUCGCUGAGUACUCCGCAACUGGCUAUGGUUUUGAGGGAAUCGCAGCGGUUUGUUACGGUCUGUUGGGGAAUUUGACACUUGUGUGUUGUGGGAGUUGCUUGAUUUUGGCGAUCAGGCCGACUGCGUUCUUUGCCGAGUUUGGGUUGUGUUUCGGGCUGCUUUUCAAAGGUACUUGGCUGAUACAGUCCGGUUUGUGCCUAUACACCGAUGUGUUCGCUCUCAAAGGGUGUCAAAAGGUAGUGGUCUCACCACCACUGCCGGGGAGUGGAGGAGCUAUGGAUGUAAAUUGUGGACUUGACGAUGACCGGACGAGGGGCGUGGCGUUGAUGAAUUUACUCUUCGUCGGGCAUGCAAUUGGGGUCUUGAUUGUGAGUUUUGUGACGUUUGGGAUGCUUGCAAUCAAUAGAAAUUCAAGGUGUGGGGAGGCUAGUGGGCCGUUGCUUGCGCAGCUUGAAACAGAGAGUGCAUUGACGAUGCGCGCUCAUCCUGAGUUUGAACUGGAAUGAAGCGUUCAUAUGGAGCAAACGAAUUGAUGAAGGUUGCCUUUCCAAUUUUCUGAGGAUCCUCUUAUUGCCGGUUCAACAAUCUCUACAGCAUCAGAACAGUAAUCCUUCACCAUCUGUAUUGUAUUUGGAGAGAGCCCAUGAGAUUGCAUGACUCCUUGGGACAGUGGUGGGGUUGAUAUUGACAAGUAGAUGUCUUGUGCACUGGAAACUGAACACUGUUAAAGACACAUGACAAUCAUCAGAAAUAGUUAUGUUAUUUUUCAAAUAUAUUUUUUAAUAGAUUGCUUGUGUUUAACCACACACUUGAUUCUUUUGUAGCGGCUACAUCAAGUUGAAAUUGGACAUCGCAUUACAUGGUUUGACCAAGUCUAUAACAGAUCCGACUCAGACAAAUGGUAAGCUUGCCUGUACUUACCUGAAUGUGGUAUUCCACAGAGCCAAACUCAUAUAAGUGAUGAUCAAUCUCCACGGGCUUUUCACUGCUGUAACGAAAGGAGGAACAUGGUUAGCAUUUUAUUUUAUUUUUGGGUUAAGAGCUCAUGCGAUGCACUGACCAUAUAUGGUUUGGCAGGGAGCAGCUGCUAAGAAAACAGCAAAUAUCCAAAACAGUCUCUCUUCUUUCUACUUUCAAGGCUUUGGAUUCGUUUUAGUUGUCUUGUUUCGAUUAAGUAAUGAUUUAUAGUUUUUGUUAAUUUCUCAGUUUCUAAUUCCAAUCCCAUUGUAUGAGCAGUUUUCUAUUUGGCUCAUAUGCAUAAUGCAUUAGAUGAUAGUUUCAGGUAUAUAUCUAGAGUUAGGGGGAGUCUCUGGUUCUUAAUUUUGAUUAGGAGCAUACGUUUCUUCAGUCUAGGUCCGUGUUUCAUAUAUUGGCUCUGUUUGUACUUAAUUUUGUGUUUUUCGUCUCUGAUGUUAUAUAUAUUCCACCAUGUGUUUAUUGAAGCCAAAAGGCUGAAAGGGAUAUUUUAUCCAACAAUAAGAAAAGCUCUCUCUUAUGGUCAACUGAGCCUGACCCUAAAACCAUUCAAAGGUUGUGUCUACAUGUUUUUGUGCUUACUAAUUUAAAGGACCAGGGAUGGUGUGAGAAGUGAACUUCUUACCUCACUAGGUGGAAAAUGUUGUCAUAGACUAUAAUGGGUGAACUAUUGAGUUAUUGUCCAACUAAUCCAUCAUUGCAGUACAAGUAAUUGAUCAUCUACCUAGACAGGACCUAUUAUUUCCGCCAAAAGUUGGUAAGUUACUGUCAUCUGAUGAGGAAAGCUAUCUUUUAUUCCCCUAACAAUGUCUGCAACUUCUUGUGCCUCCUUUUUUAAUCUGUCUUGAGUAACAUUUAUUUUAUGGUAAUUAAGUGAAAUUUUGUUGAGGACUGUUACAGGUACGUCAGCACAAGUUGCUAUUUAGUAUGCUAUUCUUUCUGUCAAGAAAAUGAGUUAGAAACCACAUAGAACAACCCUAAUCGUUGGCGAGUCUAUACUACACUAGACAGCAACAAUCUCCCUUUAGUUUUUUUAGUGAUUAUACUGUCAAGAAUAGUGUCAGGUGAGUUUUGUUUUAUGGAAGCUACUUGUGGGAUUUUGAUGUAGUUGAACUUGAGACUUCUAAGGGCAAGUUAUGUUAGAUGAACUGUGUACAAAAAAAUGUUUUCCUGUUAGGAUUGCUGUGUAUUUAUACACGAAAUCUCUAACCAUGAUAGGGUAUAUAAUGUCAGUCACAAGUUUUCCAUGUGUAGCUUAACAUUAUCAUCCAUCUAUAUCUGCCAUUGACAAUUAAAAAUGCUCACAAGUAUGGCCACCAAAAGUUGGCUCUUAGAGCCACUUAGGGGUCAAUAUUUAUUUGUUAAAGCAUACUUUCAAUAGAUUAACAGUGCUUACCGGUAUAAUUUGAGCAGGAUUUGCUUGAGAGCCGGCGAAGACUUGUCCCAACGUGCAGCCAUCGCCGGGAAACGCUGAAACUCAGCUCUCUCAAAAAAUUUCCCAGCUCCCAAACAGCAGGCACUCAUUAGUGUUGGAAAGAAAGCUUUGAAGCAACUACAUUCUCUCUCUUUAUUUGAAGA